AUGGCUUGGCUGAGUGGUCUUGCCCAGAAACUGACUAUCUCCCAGACUCCUGCUCUCAUUGUAGAGAAAACUGACCAGGAGGUUCUGAUGAACUGUGAACAGGUGACCACUAACCACGACUGGAUGUUCUGGUACCACCAAGAGAAGGGACAGGGUCUGAAACUGAUCGCCAGAAAGCUGAAAGAACAAGAACCCGACUAUGAAGGAAAAUAUAAAGAAGUCUACAUUAUGGGAAGUGAAGGAGACAAGCAUAGCUCCCUGAAGCUUAAUCUGGCAGCUCAGAGUCAGGGGGUCUACUUCUGCGCCUCCAGUGAUGCACAGUGA
Molecule: non-coding RNA, 324 nt
Organism: Nanorana parkeri
Lineage: Eukaryota; Metazoa; Chordata; Amphibia; Anura; Dicroglossidae
Source: the annotation of a RefSeq genome assembly